GAAAAGUUGCUGUUGUCAACUUGGAUCCUGCCAAUGAUAUAUUGCCUUAUGAGUGUGCUGUGAACAUAGAGGAACUGAUUAAGUUGAGUGAUGUUAUGUCCGAGCACUCUCUUGGUCCUAAUGGAGGCCUCGUAUACUGCAUGGAUUAUCUAGAAAAGAAUAUCGACUGGUUGGAAUCUAAGCUGAAACCUCUUGUAAAAGAUCACUAUCUGCUUUUUGAUUUUCCUGGCCAGGUGGAACUAUUUUUUCUUCACGCU
This is a non-coding RNA of Punica granatum (pomegranate), 257 nucleotides long. Lineage: Eukaryota; Viridiplantae; Streptophyta; Magnoliopsida; Myrtales; Lythraceae. The record is from RefSeq and is a predicted model, not a curated record.